CUAGCAUCACCGAAGGUGCGGGGAGGCAUGGGUUUCCGCGAUUUGGAACUCUUUAACCUGGCGCUUCUUGGUAAACAUGGUUGGAGGUUCAUCACCAACCUCGACUCGUUAUGUGCACGAGUCAUGAAGGGACGCUAUUUCCCUGACUGUGAUUUCAUGGAGGCCACCAAGCCGAAAACUUCUUCUGCUAUUUGGCGCGCGGUUACGGCUGGCAGGGAGGCGCUCCGCGAGGGAUUGAUUAAGAGAGUUGGGAAUGGGUCAACUAUAUCCAAUUGGCAUGAUAGGUGGAUUCCGGGCCUCCCAAAUAUGGUUCCUAUGGUAGUUCCGGGUGGUACUACUCUUGCGAUGGUGGAUCAGCUGAUUGACAUGGAAAACUAGACAUGGAGGCGGGAUUUGAUCCGGUCCAUGUUUGCUGCACCUGAUGCCGAUGCCAUUUUAAAUAUCCCAUUGCGAGUGGGCGGUGGUGACGAUUUUCUUGCUUGGGCCCAUGAAUGGAGUGGAAUCUAUUCUGUUAAAUCUGCGUAUCGGUCUCUAGUGACUCGCAAAGAGCGCUUAGCUCAAGAGGAAGGGACGACUACAAACACCUCACAGACCGCAGAAUGGAUGUGGAAGCGACUCUGGAAGCUCAAAGUUUUGCCAAAGGUGCGUGUCUUCUGGUGGCGAGUUAUUCAGAAAAUAUUACCAGACGAAUGUACACUGCGGCAUCGACACAUCAAAGCUAUCAGUAGAUGCAAUGUAUGUCUUGCAAUGUAUGAGGAUCUUAUGCAUGCUCUAGUGCAUUGUUCUCACGCCAAAUUGUUCUGGGAACAAGCGUUUCACUCUUCGAUAUCUGAAGGCCGCGCCUUCACCCAGAUACAUGGUCUCGGGAUAUCAUAUGUGACGAGCAGUUCUCUGAUAAUGAGAGGGCUCAAAUGGUCUCCGUUAUAUGGGCUAUAUGGCACUCUAGAAAUCGAGUCACCCAUGACGAUGAUCAGUUGGAUCCAUUUACGACAGUGCAGCGCAUCAGAGAAGAACUGGUGGUGCUAG
RNAcentral lists this ribosomal RNA (1026 nucleotides) under Triticum aestivum (bread wheat). RNAcentral's name for it is "partial small subunit ribosomal RNA". Lineage: Eukaryota; Viridiplantae; Streptophyta; Magnoliopsida; Poales; Poaceae. The record is from RNAcentral.